This 381-nucleotide ribosomal RNA is filed under the name uncultured bacterium. Its description in RNAcentral is "partial 16S ribosomal RNA". The record is from RNAcentral.
ACCAGACGAUGCGGUUACCGCGGCUGCUGGCACGGAGUUAGCCGGUGCUUCUUCUGUGAGUGAUGUCCUUCCUGCCGGCUAUUAACCCGCAGGCCUUCUUCCUCAACUGAAAGUGCUUUACAACCCGAAGGCCUUCUUCACACACGCGGCAUGGCUGGAUCAGGGUUGCCCCCAUUGUCCAAUAUUCCCCACUGCUGCCUCCCGUACGGAGUCUGGGCCGUGUCUCAGUCCCAGUGUGGCUGAUCAUCCUCUCAGACCAGCUACGGAUCGUCGCCUUGGUGAGCCGUUACCUCACCAACCAGCUAAUCCGACAUAGGCUCAUCCGAUAGCGCGAGGCCCGAAGGUCCCCCGCUUUCCCCCGUAGGGCGUAUGCGGUAUUAG